AUAGGAUCGAAGGAUGGAUGUGCUUUCGUUAGAUCUCAAUAUUAAAAACUUUAAAUAAAUCAAUUAAUGGAUCGGCUUUUCCAAAUUUUAUAAAAUAAUAAAUUACCAGCUUUGAUUAUGGGAUUCUUUGGAUCAUACAAUGUUCAAACAAAUUUGAACGCGGUUAGUCAAUUUUAAUAACUAAUUGAUACGUGGCGUUGUUAAACCAGAUCGAUGCUACACAGAGUGAAGCCUUUGGACCCAGAUCUGACUUAGAACAGAUCAAUAGCCCGCACGUUCGGGUUUCCAGCCGAUAUACCAAAUCAGUUUUAGUUUACCAAAUAAAGUUAAGUUGCUUUAAACGUGGUUGAUUCUUUUUAUUGGGCUAUUAUCAGAUUUAGAUUAGGUUCUUUUAAAGGUUUGGGUACAUACACAGUACCAGAUCCGGAUCCCGGAAAUGGUGCUCUGAAGGAAUGGAGGAAGAAGAGAAGAUUACAACUGAGGAUCGAGAUCC
Molecule: long non-coding RNA, 493 nt
Filed under: Citrus x clementina
Lineage: Eukaryota; Viridiplantae; Streptophyta; Magnoliopsida; Sapindales; Rutaceae
Description: Citrus clementina (C. clementina) long non-coding RNA (CCLE_LNC006665)
Source: RNAcentral